ACUGAACGCUCCCUCCCCCUGCUGAAAUGCUAAGCCAAAGGAUUUAUCAGGCUCUUAUGUAACACGCUUUUAGGGUUUCCAGCAGAAAUAGGUGCUCUAAAUAUAAAUGAUUUGCAGAUAAAAUAGGCUUAUAUAAACCACUUCUGCUUUAUAUAACCCCUUGCUGGUGCUGCAGCCCAUGCUCACACAGCUCAGGGCCGGCAGCAGCGGGGCCAGGGUGUGCUGGUGCCCAAUGGGAGCCCCCACACAGACACAGCCAUGGCUCCUCCAAGAGCAGGAGCCAAGGGAAAGAUGCAGACACCGGCUCAUGGAGGGGCUCCCUUAAUCAGUCAUUGCACCGAGGCCGACCCCGACCGUCCGCUCUGGAAGCUGUGGUUGCAGCAGCUGCUGAGUAGAGAGAAAACCGGUGCAGACGGUUCUUCCAGUGCAGCCACAUCCAUCCUUUGGGAAAGGGCAGUCCAGCUGUACACCGACAGCUAGCACUGCUUUGCACCCAUCCCUGCUGCACACCUCCCUGCACGGCCAGCUGCUCCAAGGGCUCUGCUGAUAAACCUCCGUUCCCCUAGCUUGGCUCAGAGACACGCCAGAAGCCACAGCAGUGGCCAUUAGCAAGGGCAGCAACAAUUAGCUCUGAGAUACGGCCUCCCUGGCACCAAGCAGCGGUUGCUAUGUUACACCCUGAGCAGGAGAGAUCCAGCCAGACCCAGCACAGGAGCUCCAUGCCUCACACCAAGCAUUGUCUCGGGCAGGGGGACCGACUGCCAGGUGGUUUUGGCUGCUGGUCUGAGUACAACACAUGCAUAUGAUUACGUAGAAAUAUAGAAAGACAUAGCUAUGCAGAUCUAUCUUCUUCGUACGCACACCUGUAUUUUCAUACAUUCGAGAAAGAAGGAUGCAUUUCUGAGCUGCAGCAUAUCUUUUACAGCGGGGCAACGUGAUUUAUAUCUCUGCCAUUAACAUUUUCAUUCAAGUAACUGCUUAUUUAUUCCUAUAGCAGAGAAGCUGUUCUGACGACGUGGGAAGAUGCCGUUUCUGAGGCAGCCAGGGCUCUCAGCAGCCUGCAUUAUUUCUGGCGGGACUGUCAGUUCUCCAAGCACCACUACCUCAUUUUUAACGCAGAUCUGUUGGAAGACAUUUGGUCCAUCCUGCUUUUGUCAGCCACGGGCAGCAAAGUAGCCAUGGAGAGGCUGUGUGGAGAGACCACCACUCCAUGCCCUGGAGCCGAUGCCAGCAGCAGCCUGCUGUGUGCGCCGGGGGACAGAGAGCCCCAGCAGGCAGCCCAGCGCCCCGGGGAGAAGCCCGACCCCCACACAGGCAGCACGUGGGGGCACCGCGCUCCCACGGAGGCCACCUGUCCGGCUGCACACGCACACGUUUACCUUUGCUGGGCCGUACUUGAGGCCAGCCGGGCAGCGCACAGCUGGUGAGGGCAGGCUGCAUUGAACGCCCGAAGCUGCAAGUGGAAAAGUCGUCGCCCCGGCAGUAGCGAGGGAAAGGCCGUGUCAGCCCUCGGCGGGCAGCACCGUCCCGGCCUCAGCCCGCUGCCGGCUGCAGCGCUGCCAGAACGCUUCUGCGGGCCAAGGUUAAGGGCUCUGGGAAAAAGAAAGAAAUCUGCAAGCAGCAGACCGAAGCGUCUCUGAGCCGUGACCGUGUGCCACACAGCGCGCUCAGCUGACCGGACACGCUGGACUCAUCGCUCUGAGCGGAUGAGGACGGGGCCGGUUUGUGCAAUUCGUGAUAACAGCAUUUUGCAAACGUGAUGAAAAUGUGUGGUAAACCCCAGGCAAACUGCAGCAGCCUGUGCACACAACCCGUGCAAAAUAGGUGUGUCGGCACGGCCGGGCCCAGCUCUCCAACCCCGCUGUGCUGCUGCUCACAGCGCGGCACGGACCCAAACAGGAUCUGAGGCCGGGCACCACGAGGCCACCGCUCACCCCUUUGGGACCCCGGCUACUGCUCCCACUGUUUGCAGUCCAUGGGACAACGGCAGGCUGAGGAAUGAGCCCAGGGCACACUUUACAAAGUCUUCGUGGAGGCAGAAACCCGCUGCUCGGGACCCAAAACCCAGCUGUGGGUUGGGGGCAGCCACAGUUGUCCUCAUGAGCUGUGCCUGCAGCACUGGGGCUGCCCCACGCCGUUGCCUACAGCCUCCUGCUUCUGGCUCCGAGCUACAGCGACAGCUUUCAGAGUCCUGGGUGGCGAGAGGUGAAUGCCCACCCAGCUGCAGCUGCUCUCAAGGUUCAGAAAUAAAUGCUUUUGG
Long non-coding RNA from Gallus gallus (chicken), 2260 nucleotides. The record is from Ensembl. NCBI's taxonomy places the organism in Eukaryota, Metazoa, Chordata, Aves, Galliformes, Phasianidae.